ACAAUUGUUGAUUUUAUAAGCUUUUGCAGGGUAAAUGGUUAUUCUAUUUUAAGGAAACAAAUUUUGUCCUUAUGAUGUUGCCGGAUUUAUUGCUCUUAACUCCUAUAACUACUUCUCUUUGUUGAAGAGAUUUGCUAGGCCAGACAUGAGGGGUAUGUAGCUUUGACAUUUUGGCUAGGUCUAGCACACAGAAUCUACUAACAGUUCCCCUAAGUAUCUGAGCCCACCGGGCUAUGUGUCAUACCAUGCCAAUUGCAGAUAGGCAGGGAUGAAAGUUGACUUUCAUGAUUUGGUACCAGAGUUUGAGGGAGAGCAGGUUCGUUAGAAUCAAACAGGCCUGGGUUUAUAUCCCAACUCAGCCAUUCUCUGGGUAUGUCGUCGCCACCAAGACUGAAUUUAAAUGUCAUUUUCUCAGAGAGGCCUCACGGGGUCUCCCAAGUUAGCUUCAUCCAGAACACUGGUUUUGCCCCAUGAUAAAACUCAUAUUUAGCAGUAUAUAGUGGGCAUUUAAUAAAUACUUGAGAAUGAAUGUUGAAUGAGUGUCGAGUAAAAAGUCAUGUUUUGACUCCAUUCCUAUGAACUAGGCAAGAGGAAAACUUUCUUUUCCUACAAAAAAGAAAGUAAAAAUGCUUCACCUACAGCCAGAGUAAACAUGGUUACAAUGUUAAAUAGUGUAGUUAUAGUCUGAAAUGAGCUAGUUUGAAAGCAAAUCUCAGAUUCAAGUGAGGCUUUCUCUAGUUUAGAACCUGGCAUUAGAGGGAACCAUGAGGAAGCUAAUGUUUAACCAAGGGUCUGUAAUGAGCCACAUGCUGUGUGUAACAGGGUGAUGCACAUAAGAUACUUGUUUAAAAAUAUGAAAGUGUGAAUUUCCAAAGAGAAAAGCAAGGUUUUCUCUAACUGUUCACACACCGUAGUGGGCCUCCUUGCCUUCUUCUGAGUGGGAACUUUUGAGGCCACUACUGUUAGAAGGAAAAAGUGUGUGAUGCUUAUCUGUGUUCAGAACUAGAAAAUGCCCUCUUCCGCUCCCUAGGUUGGCCCUGUUGUUGUUCAGGUGCUGCCUGUGAACAGACACCCACAGAAGACGGAAAAGAUGAAUCCGCAGAUUGCUGUGUACACAUGCUCUUCUAGGGCAUUACUAAUCUAGAGGAAGCAAGUGGGUGAAGAACCACAUUUGCAAAGAGGACAAGAGAUUAAUGAAAAGAAGUGGAGAAGCAGAAGACUUGGUGCCAAUGGGCCGAAUCAUGGAAGGAACAAAGGAACAAAGAAGUUUGGAUGGGACAGGAAAGGUCAGGGGAUGGCAGAAGGCAGCAAGGUUGUGGACAUUAAAUGCGAAGGGAAGAAAGUGCAAGAAGGAAAUCCUCUCCUUUUGUCAAGACCAAACUUCACAUGCUUGACCUGUAUCUUUCGACUCAAGGAGCAAGUGUCACCUCCUUUGUGUUGGGCAUCAGAGGGAGAGUUCACAAGCCAGAAUUGCCACCACUAAUGCCAGUCAUUCAACAGUCAUUUAUGGAACACUGAUUAUAGGACAGUCACUAUACUGGAUGCCAGGGUUAUAACAGAUGAACAAGAAGUGCAUGUCCUUUCCUUCCCCUCCCGAGAGCUCUUGGUCACUGUUGUGGUUCACUUUUUCACACUCACCAUCACUACCACCUUUCUUCUCAUCACUUAAGGCAAUCCUGGACAUCUAAUUGUGCUUACAAAGCAUGUAGGGAUAAACAAACAUGAACAUAAAAAUAAAAAUAGAAUCUUAAAAAAAUAAAAGAGUGGAAAAUAAUCACCUGGUGAUUUCAUUAAAAUGCAGAUUUCCAGGUGUAUUUGCAUAUUUUGAUUUAGAAAAUCUAGAAACAGGUCCCAAGACUCAACAUCUUCAAAACAAUCUAGAAGAUUCUGAUGCAGGCAUUUCAUGGCUCACGUUUUGCAAAUACAAUCUUCUGUUAAACGAUCUUGUGUAUUUUUGUCACAUUCAUUGUGUUUUGAAUGUCACAACAACCCAAGAAAGUAAAUGGGAUAGGAAUUAUUAUCUCCAAUUUACGGAUGAGGAAAAGAAAUGCAUAAGAAUGCCUAUUCAACCUGAUUUAAUAUAACUGGCAUCUAAUUUGUUCAAGCUCUGCACUAGAAAUUAUAGAGGAUGAGACACUCAGUGGAUCUGCAUUAGGGGGGUGCAGAAGACAAGCACACAAAUAUGCCAGGUGCUUUCCAUGCUGUUCUAUCUGGAAUCUACUUUAACACUUAUCAAUAUAUACAUGCACAUAAAUGUAUUAUGAUAACUUUAUUCUGUACCCUGAAGGUGGUAAGUUCACUCAUUCACUAAUUGGUUCGUUCAUUUUACCCAAUAUUUGUUGGGCAGUUAUUAUAUGUCUGACAUUAUUCUCGGUAUUGGGGAUACAGUAAUAAAUAAAAUACACAAAAACUUCUGCUUUCAUGAAUUAACAUUCUAGUGGAGGAAAACAGAGACUAGGAAACCACAUCACCCUUCAUAUCUGAAAAGAUCUACCCAGCCCAGUGGGCUAUAGGGCUAUUUGGUGCCUAUUUGAUGAUGAGUAUUUAUACAAGUGGCAGAGACUGGCUUUUGUCAAAAUAUUCCUUCCAGAAGUAAGUUGGGAAGCAGGUGCAGGAACCUCACCUACUAAUUGUCAUAAACCAUUGUUUAUCAAAAUAACCUGACAUGCCAAUUUGUAACCUAUCAUCUCAUUUAACCUUUUCCAGUAAUAUUGGGGUAUACAUACUAUCUCCAUUUUACAGAUGAGACAAUCGAAUCUUAACAGGGUCAAAUAAUUUCCUGAUGUUCAGUGAUUACGUACUGAGUAGCAGAGACAGGAUUUAAACAGGUUUGUGGCCAUAUACUGUACAAUUUCCACUCCUCUAUACUGCUCUAAGAUCUUGGAGCAACUCUUAACACUUCCCAGUGACCCUGGGUUUCAGUUGGUCAUUCUCUCUCAUACCAGCAACAUUCACCUCAUCUUUGUGCUGCCUCUCUAGCCUUCUGGAGAGCCAGUUUAAGGUUAUUUUACCAAAGAAUUCUCCAGGACUCAUUUUGAUUGUUGAUGAUCAUGCUCACUUCUUAGCUUGUAUUAAAUCUUGUCUCACAAAUAACUUUUCUUGAGAUUAAGGAGUGCUUUCCCUACACUUUUUUUAAUAUCCUACUGCAUCUAAUUUAAUACAAUGCAUGUGUAAGAUGUAGUCUUUGUUCCUUUGGUAGGUAAAUUUUAAUUGCACCACUUAGAACAUGGUGCCUGGCACAUAAUAAAUACUCACUGAAUAUUAUUGGCUUUUGUAGAUAGAAUAUUCACAAGAUUCUGCAUAAUACAAUGGAUGUUGCUACCAAUUUAGAUAAUCAAAAACGGAAAACAAGAAUUUCAUUUUUAAGAUUCUUUGAUUAUAAACAGCUACUAACUUACCUAUUCUUUUAAUAUAAGGCUUAGAAUUCUUGGAACAAGAAGUUCAUUUUCAACAUAUAAUGUUAUGUAUCUGAAAAUCUGAGUCAGCAAUGAGGUUAUCUGAGGCCCAACUGUAGAAAUAUUUGUAGAGGGAGGUUCUGGAUAAAGUAGGCAGGAGUAAAAAGGAAUACAGAAUGUGGGAAAGGGAAGUAUGUGUGGGGCCAAGUCUUUAUAUGACAGGGUUUUCUCUUUUAUAUUUUCACAGGUUAGAGGAAGAAAUAGUGAAUGAAUCAUAUAUUAAGCUAAAAGGGGCUACUUAAGCAACCCUCUACUUUGGAACACAAAACACAUUUCACAUCUUGUCACUUCUCAACAUUAAUGCACUCAAUUAAUGCAUUUAUUUGAUGGCACUGAAACAAAUUUGGCAAGUAUUGGUUAAUUAUGUAUAAACGUGAUAGAAUCAUACCAUUUAAUAUAUGCACCUGUGUCUGUAUAGAUAUACAGAUCUUGUUUUUCAAGUCCAAUACUAACAUAAACAGUUCAACAGGGCAUUUAAUUAAUUUAUGAAUUUCUUCACAUUAAUGUCUUAUAGUGCAAAACAAGUUUGUCACAUUUAUGUAUAUGUAUUUGAAAAGAAUAAAAUUAUCUGAGAUUUGUACUUUUGCUGAUAUGGGAAAUAAGUUUAUUUUGUGAGCAAGUAUGUACAAUAUAAUCAAGGAAAAAACUGUCUGAACUUUAUGUAGAUUCAUGGAUCAAAAAUAUUAUGCCAGUAAUAACAUAAGAAAGAGUGUGUGUGCGAUACACACCCAUGUAUGUACACACACAUAGAUACAUGUGUGUUGAAUUCCUAUUAACAGUGAUUUCAUGAUGAAAGCAUUUCUGACUACAUUUGCUUAUGUCUCUGAGCCUCAGAUUUUUCUUCUCUAAACUUAAGGAUAGUCAUAAUACUUCCUAUUUCUAGGAGAUGUCAGAAUUAAAUGAUAGAGCAUACAUGAAAAUGUCUAGUUCAUAAGGGACAUGUAAUAAAGGUUAUUUACCCUAUAUUUUUUCUUGCCUCUAUUACUACUUAUCAUGAAGCUGACCUUAUGCUAUCUCUUUAGAGAAGCCAUAAGUAGACAAAAGCAUA
Mustela erminea (ermine) is the source of this 4503-nucleotide long non-coding RNA. RefSeq lists it as uncharacterized. The record is from RefSeq and is a predicted model, not a curated record. The transcript is spliced from 4 exons. Lineage: Eukaryota; Metazoa; Chordata; Mammalia; Carnivora; Mustelidae.